GGUUACGUGUUUGGUCGUAAUUUGUAUAAAUUCAAAAUGUAAACCAUUUCGUGAAACGCCAGCGUUUUAGAGAUGGGGCAACUGUGGUCCUCCGCUCGAUACUAUCGGUGAGGAGUGAAAUAACGCACUAACGCAUCACGCCAAAAAUCUUCAGUAGGGGGACUCGCAAUUAAAUUGGCGGCACAUUGGGAUACUUGGGAAUCAGCAACUCCAGUCGCAUAUGCCUGCGCACUUGGCACUCGAGAAAGUCCUGAACAUUCCUCAUUUCCGGCUGAUGGCAUUUCUCAGCAUCCGCCUUUUCAUACAUCUCACUACGUAGAUCCUUUAAAUAACGCCGUGGUUCUUCGAUUAGACGGUUCCUCUUCUUAAUAGCCA
This is a non-coding RNA of Drosophila melanogaster (fruit fly), 375 nucleotides long. The record is from Ensembl. NCBI's taxonomy places the organism in Eukaryota, Metazoa, Arthropoda, Insecta, Diptera, Drosophilidae.